GAUGAAGAACGUAGCGAAAUGCGAUAAGUAAUGUGAAUUGCAGAAUUCAGUGAAUCAUCGAAUCUUUGAACGCACCUUGCGCCUUUUGGUAUUCCGAAAGGCACACCUGUUUGAGCGUCAUGAAUACCUCAAUCUCCAUCUUUUCUUCGGAUUGAUGGGUGACUUGGAUGUUGAGCCCUGCUGGUAUGCUAUAUCAGCUGGCUUUAAACUUAUUAGCCGGCUCUGUACUGGAUCGGUUUGACUCGACGUGAUAAUAUUAUCGUUGAGGAUGCAUGUCUCAUGCAGCCGGAAAGUAUCAAAGCAGCUUCUAGCUCGCCUUUAGUGCACUUUUACAUUUUAGACCUCAGAUCAGGUGGGACUACCCGCUGAACUUAAGCAUAUCAAUAAGCGGAGGA
RNAcentral lists this unclassified non-coding RNA (395 nucleotides) under soil metagenome. RNAcentral's name for it is "partial contains 5.8S ribosomal RNA, internal transcribed spacer 2, and large subunit ribosomal RNA". The stretch from base 1 to 120 matches the Rfam family "5.8S ribosomal RNA", at positions 35 to 154 of the family's 154-position model. The record is from RNAcentral.